This 250-nucleotide long non-coding RNA is filed under the name Hordeum vulgare. Its description in RNAcentral is "long non-coding RNA (HVUL_LNC000939)". Lineage: Eukaryota; Viridiplantae; Streptophyta; Magnoliopsida; Poales; Poaceae. The record is from RNAcentral.
AUGAAAACAUAAGGUAUUCAGAUCUGAAAUCAUGGCACUCAAUCCCAAAGUGACAAGCAUUAAGAGUAACAAGUAGUAGCAAAGAUGAUAAACACCAUAGUAGAUGAUAGGCAACAUGCCCCCAACAAUGUGACGAACUAUUACAUGAUCUAAGUCAUCCAAUCCCUACCAUCCCCCUCACCCACAACACGGAAUUACUCACACAUGAAAGGGGAAGCCAUGGAAGGGUGAUGGAGUGGCAAUGGUGAUG